Molecule: ribosomal RNA, 479 nt
Filed under: uncultured bacterium
Lineage: Bacteria
Description: partial 16S ribosomal RNA
Rfam family: Bacterial small subunit ribosomal RNA
Source: RNAcentral
GAUGAACGCUAGCGGGAGGCCUAACACAUGCAAGCCGAGCGGUAGAGAUUCUUCGGAAUCUUGAGAGCGGCGUACGGGUGCGGAACACGUGUGCAACCUGCCUUUAUCAGGGGGAUAGCCUUUCGAAAGGAAGAUUAAUACCCCAUAAUAUAUUUGAUGGCAUCAUUAGAUAUUGAAAGCUUUUGCGGAUAGAGAUGGGCACGCGCAAGAUUAGAUAGUUGGUGAGGUAACGGCUCACCAAGUCGAUGAUCUUUAGGGGGCCUGAGAGGGUGAUCCCCCACAGUGGGACUGAGACACGGAGCAGACUCAUACGGGAGGCAGCAGUGAGGAAUAUUGGACAAUGGGUUAGCGCCUGAUCCAGCCAUCCCGCGUGAAGGACGACGGCCCUAUGGGUUGUAAACUUCUUUUGUACAGGGAUAAACCUACUCUCGUGAGAGUAGCUGAAGGUACUGUACGAAUAAGCACCGGCUAACUCCGUG